This 497-nucleotide ribosomal RNA is filed under the name uncultured bacterium. RNAcentral's name for it is "partial 16S ribosomal RNA". It matches the Rfam family "Bacterial small subunit ribosomal RNA", at positions 28 to 507 of the family's 1533-position model. The record is from RNAcentral.
GACGAACGCUGGCGGCGUGCCUAAUACAUGCAAGUUGAGCGCUGAAGGUUGGUACUUGUACCAACUGGAUGAGCAGCGAACGGGUGAGUAACGCGUGGGGAAUCUGCCUUUGAGCGGGGGACAACAUUUGGAAACGAAUGCUAACACCGCAUAAAAACUUUAAACACAAGUUUUAAGUUUGAAAGAUGCAAUUACAUCACUCAAAGAUGAUCCCGCGUUGUAUUAGCUAGUUGGUGAGGUAAAGGCUCACCAAGGCGAUGAUACAUAGCCGACCUGAGAGGGUGAUCGGCCACAUUGGGACUGAGACACGGCCCAAACUCCUACGGGAGGCAGCAGUAGGGAAUCUUCGGCAAUGGACGAAAGUCUGACCGAGCAACGCCGCGUGAGUGAAGAAGGUUUUCGGAUCGUAAAACUCUGUUGGUAGAGAAGAACGUUGGUGAGAGUGGAAAGCUCAUCAAGUGACGGUAACUACCCAGAAAGGGACGGCUAACUACGUG